RNAcentral lists this transfer RNA (66 nucleotides) under Chilotomina oberthuri. RNAcentral's name for it is "tRNA-Tyr". Lineage: Eukaryota; Metazoa; Arthropoda; Insecta; Coleoptera; Chrysomelidae. The record is from RNAcentral.
GGUAAAAUGGCCGAGUUCAGGUAUUAAAUUGUAAAUUUAAUAACGAAGUUAUAACUUCUUUUACCA